GACGAACGCUGGCGGCGUGCUUAACACAUGCAAGUCGAACGGAAAGGCCCUGCUUUUGUGGGUUGCUCGAGUGGCGAACGGGGGAGUAAAACGUGAGUAACCUGCCCUUGACUUUCGGAUAACUUUAGGAAACUGGGGCUAAUAUCGGGUAGGAGCUCCUGAUGCGUGGGGGUGGUUGGAAAGUUUCGGCGUUUGGGGAUGGACUCGCGGCUUAUCAGCUUGUUGGUGGGGUAGUGGCUUACAAAGGGUUUGACGGGUAGCCGGCAUGAGAGGGUGACCGGCCACAUUGGUACUGAGAUACGGCCCAGACUCGUACGGGAGGCAGCAGUGGGGAAUAUUGCACAAUGGGCGGAAGCCUGAUGCAGCAACGCCGCGAGCGUGAUGACGGCCUUCGGGUUGUAAACCGAUUUCGCCUGUGACGAAGCGUGAGUGACGGUAAUGGGUAAAGAAGCACCGGCUAACUACGUG
Molecule: ribosomal RNA, 468 nt
Filed under: uncultured bacterium
Lineage: Bacteria
Description: partial 16S ribosomal RNA
Rfam family: Bacterial small subunit ribosomal RNA
Source: RNAcentral